GCUGUCCUCAGCUUCAACAUGAGUGUCACUUGAAGAAACCUGUCAAGAAAACCAGUUUGGCUAGUUGAUGUUCAGGGCUUGCAAAAAGUGCCAUCCAGUCAUCUGGGACAAGCACUAGUAAUGUUUCAUUCUAACUUGCACAAUGAGCAAGGGCCCAAGCAAGUCACCUUGAAACAUUACGAAAUGAGUCAGCUAAGAACUAAGACUUGCCCAGGCAUCGAGUGGAUCCUCUGGGUUUGGUUCUGCCAUCAGAAGUUGGAUCGAUGUCAGCACAGUUGAAAUGUUC
Molecule: long non-coding RNA, 286 nt
Organism: Orbicella faveolata
Lineage: Eukaryota; Metazoa; Cnidaria; Anthozoa; Scleractinia; Merulinidae
Source: RefSeq, a predicted model, not a curated record